Long non-coding RNA from Equus caballus (horse), 2065 nucleotides. The record is from Ensembl. Lineage: Eukaryota; Metazoa; Chordata; Mammalia; Perissodactyla; Equidae.
CUUGCCCAGUGUCCCACACUUAAUUAUCUGCUUUACUUCCAAGUUCUAGGCACAUUCUACUUUUAUCAGUGUUUAUUUCUCAAAUGCAGUCCAACUAGAAUAAAGCCAUCCCUCUCUCCUCCCUUAUUCAGGCCUCUAUACUUCUUUUAAUAUGGUCUUGAGUGUCUUAGCUUUCAGAGAACUCUCCCUGUACCCAAGGCUUGUAUCUCCUCAUUUGGUUCAAUGCAGCAGUUUAUUUAUUCAUUCAUUUUCUGAAACUGGAGCUAGCUGGCUGGCAGAAUUUAAUCAGAAGAUUGUGUAGCUAUGGCAAGAGGCUGCCCAAAUCCAUAACUAUAAUGAGAGAAUGGGUGACAGGAGAAUUGGAUUAAAAGGCAGCUCGCUUUGCAAAGGGGGAAACACCAACUCCCCCUCCCUUCCACUUCUUACUGCCCACCUGUGAGAAGAAGAACCGAAACCAAAGGGGAAAAUAUGGAGGGAGAUCAGCCCUGAGUGACCCCAGGGAAUUUCUAAAGUAAAGGGGUUAUUAGACACGUGGAGUAUGUCUUGUUUGAGGGGUGGAGUCUCUGAGAGAAGAGAGGUGGGUAUCACAGUCAUAUGACAGAGAAGUGGAAUCAAGAACUGGUCAAGUCUAAGACUCUCUGAGAAGAACCCCAGCGCCUCUCUGCGUAUCCCCACCUGCUCUGGUGCCUGAAAUUUGUCCGCUUGGCAUCCAUCGCUCUGGCUUCACAACUACAGCAAUAUGCAUGCAACACUUAGGAACACGGAGUGGUUUCCACAUCUGUCUUCUUAUUUGAAUCUCACAGAAAUUCUGUGAGGGAUACACGGCAAGGAGAGAUGGUCUAGAGCAGGCAAUGUGAGCAAAAGGCUGGGGCCAAGAGGACCAGCUUGUUAUGGAGACUUGCCCUUGCCAAGUUUCGGUUUUCUCAUCUGUAAGUCAGAUAUAACAGUUCAUAUAGCUUGGGGCUUUGAUGAGGAUUAAAUAACAUAAUAUAAGUAAUAGUGCCUGGCAGAUGUUAAGUAACAUAUUUGCUAUUAUUAUUGUCCCCAUUUGAUGGAUGAGAAAACUGAGAAUUGGUUUCCGAAAGUGACUUGCCAGAGGCUGCCAGAGCUGGAUGGGAGCCCAGGUCUCCUGAUUUCCAGCCCUCUCUGCCUGCUCCAGCCCAUUGAACAGCGUCAACUCGUCUCCCUUCACAGUAAUGACAGUGCCAUCGGUGGGAGUGUGAGGAUGCUCUCGGAUUAGAAAGGGAAAGUCUCUUUGUUGUUUUUUGUAAAUGGGGAUUUACUUCAGGGUUAUUUGAAUGCUGCUAUGGUUUGUAGGACUUGCAGAUUCUAAGUAUCUUUUAAUUGGAGAGCAUUGCUUGAGGCUCCACGGCAAAGGUAUUUGGGUUUCUUUGUUUUAAACAAGAUGAAUAAACAAAGAGGAACUGGGUGCUGAGGGCCUUCAAGCACCGACGUUCUGUGAGUCUUGUUGGUCAUCUAUCACUUCUCACCACAAACCAGAUGAAAGAAACGCAGCUUGAACUGGUCAAAGCAGAAAGAAAAAUUACUGGCCAACGUAAUGAGAAAACAAGAGUGGAGCUGAGCUUCAGGCAUGGCGAGAGGUAUUGUGUAGAUGAAUGAGAUGAUUUGGGAGCUCUCUGGCUUCAGACACAUGUGAAAACUGGGGCUGAGUUCAAACGUCACUUUCUCAAGACAGCUGUCCCUCAACCAACACCAUCGGACCUCUUGCUCGAGGCUCUCAUGAGAUCCUGCACUUUUCCUUUAUAGCUUUAAUUAUAAUUAUUAAUCAGUUAAUUAAUUAUUUGUUUAGCAUCUACUUCCUCUCCUAGGCCAGGAUAAGGAUUCCGUCCGUCUUCAUCUGUCUAACCCCAGCCCUAAAUAUGUCUGAAUAGAUGCUCAAUAAAUAUCUAUUGAAUGAAUCAAUAAAACGAUUAGACCUGACACUGAAAUCUACCAUGUGAAAAUCGUAGUAUUCUGCAGAUUGGUGAAAUGUCUCAGUUGGGGAUGUAGAGACCAUUAAAUCAAUCUCCUCUUACGGAUGGAGAAAACACGGCCCAGAGCGAGG